UCCUUUGUGGUGUAGUGGUCAGCACGCUCGGCGUGUAUUCGAGAGGUACGAGGUUCGAGUCCUGGCGAGAGUA
This 73-nucleotide transfer RNA is filed under the name Stegodyphus mimosarum. It matches the Rfam family "tRNA". From Rfam's summary of the family: Transfer RNA (tRNA) molecules are approximately 80 nucleotides in length. Their secondary structure includes four short double-helical elements and three loops (D, anti-codon, and T loops). Further hydrogen bonds mediate the characteristic L-shaped molecular structure. tRNAs have two regions of fundamental functional importance: the anti-codon, which is responsible for specific mRNA codon recognition, and the 3' end, to which the tRNAs corresponding amino acid is attached (by aminoacyl-tRNA synthetases). tRNAs cope with the degeneracy of the genetic code in two manners: having more than one tRNA (with a specific anti-codon) for a particular amino acid; and 'wobble' base-pairing, i.e. permitting non-standard base-pairing at the 3rd anti-codon position. The record is from Rfam by way of RNAcentral. Lineage: Eukaryota; Metazoa; Arthropoda; Arachnida; Araneae; Eresidae.